CCUACGGGAGGCAGCAGUGGGGAAUAUUGCACAAUGGGGGGAACCCUGAUGCAGCGACGCCGCGUGGGUGAAGGAGUAUUUCGGUAUGUAAAGCCCUAUCAGCAGGGAAGAACAAUGACGGUACCUGACUAAGAAGCACCGGCUAAAUACGUGCCAGCAGCCGCGGUAAUACGUAUGGUGCAAGCGUUAUCCGGAUUUACUGGGUGUAAAGGGAGCGCAGGCGGCGCGUUAAGCCUGGUGUGAAAGUCCGCGGCCCAACCGCGGGACUGCAUUGGGAACUGGCGCGCUGGAGUGCCGGAGGGGUAGGCGGAAUUCCUAGUGUAGCGGUGAAAUGCGUAGAUAUUAGGAGGAACACCAGUGGCGAAGGCGGUCUGCUGGACAGCAACUGACGCUGAGGCGCGAAAGCGUGGGGAGCAAACAGGAUUAGAUACCCCAGUAGUC
This 441-nucleotide ribosomal RNA is filed under the name uncultured bacterium. Its description in RNAcentral is "partial 16S ribosomal RNA". It matches the Rfam family "Bacterial small subunit ribosomal RNA", at positions 338 to 795 of the family's 1533-position model. The record is from RNAcentral.